RNAcentral lists this ribosomal RNA (1440 nucleotides) under Salmonella enterica subsp. enterica serovar Grumpensis. Its description in RNAcentral is "bacterial SSU rRNA". It matches the Rfam family "Bacterial small subunit ribosomal RNA". Lineage: Bacteria; Pseudomonadati; Pseudomonadota; Gammaproteobacteria; Enterobacterales; Enterobacteriaceae. The record is from RNAcentral.
GAGUAAUGUCUGGGAAACUGCCUGAUGGAGGGGGAUAACUACUGGAAACGGUGGCUAAUACCGCAUAACGUCGCAAGACCAAAGAGGGGGACCUUCGGGCCUCUUGCCAUCAGAUGUGCCCAGAUGGGAUUAGCUUGUUGGUGAGGUAACGGCUCACCAAGGCGACGAUCCCUAGCUGGUCUGAGAGGAUGACCAGCCACACUGGAACUGAGACACGGUCCAGACUCCUACGGGAGGCAGCAGUGGGGAAUAUUGCACAAUGGGCGCAAGCCUGAUGCAGCCAUGCCGCGUGUAUGAAGAAGGCCUUCGGGUUGUAAAGUACUUUCAGCGGGGAGGAAGGUGUUGUGGUUAAUAACCGCAGCAAUUGACGUUACCCGCAGAAGAAGCACCGGCUAACUCCGUGCCAGCAGCCGCGGUAAUACGGAGGGUGCAAGCGUUAAUCGGAAUUACUGGGCGUAAAGCGCACGCAGGCGGUCUGUCAAGUCGGAUGUGAAAUCCCCGGGCUCAACCUGGGAACUGCAUUCGAAACUGGCAGGCUUGAGUCUUGUAGAGGGGGGUAGAAUUCCAGGUGUAGCGGUGAAAUGCGUAGAGAUCUGGAGGAAUACCGGUGGCGAAGGCGGCCCCCUGGACAAAGACUGACGCUCAGGUGCGAAAGCGUGGGGAGCAAACAGGAUUAGAUACCCUGGUAGUCCACGCCGUAAACGAUGUCUACUUGGAGGUUGUGCCCUUGAGGCGUGGCUUCCGGAGCUAACGCGUUAAGUAGACCGCCUGGGGAGUACGGCCGCAAGGUUAAAACUCAAAUGAAUUGACGGGGGCCCGCACAAGCGGUGGAGCAUGUGGUUUAAUUCGAUGCAACGCGAAGAACCUUACCUGGUCUUGACAUCCACAGAACUUUCCAGAGAUGGAUUGGUGCCUUCGGGAACUGUGAGACAGGUGCUGCAUGGCUGUCGUCAGCUCGUGUUGUGAAAUGUUGGGUUAAGUCCCGCAACGAGCGCAACCCUUAUCCUUUGUUGCCAGCGGUCCGGCCGGGAACUCAAAGGAGACUGCCAGUGAUAAACUGGAGGAAGGUGGGGAUGACGUCAAGUCAUCAUGGCCCUUACGACCAGGGCUACACACGUGCUACAAUGGCGCAUACAAAGAGAAGCGACCUCGCGAGAGCAAGCGGACCUCAUAAAGUGCGUCGUAGUCCGGAUUGGAGUCUGCAACUCGACUCCAUGAAGUCGGAAUCGCUAGUAAUCGUGGAUCAGAAUGCCACGGUGAAUACGUUCCCGGGCCUUGUACACACCGCCCGUCACACCAUGGGAGUGGGUUGCAAAAGAAGUAGGUAGCUUAACCUUCGGGAGGGCGCUUACCACUUUGUGAUUCAUGACUGGGGUGAAGUCGUAACAAGGUAACCGUAGGGGAACCUGCGGUUGGAUCACCUCCUUACCUUAAAGAAGC